AAGGCCUCCACUCCUAACGAGACCACCUGAGAACGUGUCAUUUAUGAAGCAGAAUCAAGACCCAAACAAUAAAUACAUGAAAAUGGAGGAAAAAGAAGUUGAAAGUUCAAAAUAUAUAAAAAGACUUUAGCAGGCAACUCCUGAACUUAACUUUGAGCGUCACAGAGUACCAUAAACACAAGUGGUGGAUCUUUUGCUGCUCUUAUUGAUUGUGUGGCAACAUGUUCCUCUACUGGCUCUCUGUGAUAAU
Arabidopsis thaliana (thale cress) is the source of this 250-nucleotide long non-coding RNA. RefSeq annotates it as other RNA. The record is from RefSeq. The transcript has a single exon. Lineage: Eukaryota; Viridiplantae; Streptophyta; Magnoliopsida; Brassicales; Brassicaceae.